Molecule: signal recognition particle RNA, 93 nt
Filed under: Rhodospirillaceae bacterium
Lineage: Bacteria; Pseudomonadati; Pseudomonadota; Alphaproteobacteria; Rhodospirillales; Rhodospirillaceae
Description: signal recognition particle sRNA small type
Rfam family: Bacterial small signal recognition particle RNA
About the family: The signal recognition particle (SRP) is a universally conserved ribonucleoprotein involved in the co-translational targeting of proteins to membranes.
Source: RNAcentral
GGAGGCUAGUAUCGGGCAAAGAGUUUGCUAAUCCGGUCAGGUCGAAAGAAGCAGCCGUAACAAAUUUCUUUGGGUCGAUUUCUAGUCUCCUAC